UUUUCCUAUUCCUUCUCUCUGUAACCCAUCUCUUUCUCUUUCUAUAUCUUCCUUCUCUCUCUAUUGCCUAGCCACCCAUCUUGCCCUUUACGUCUUCUCUAUCAUCGUCCUCACUUCUCCACCAGUUCAUCAGCGACAAACCUCAUUCCUCCACCAUUCUUCCUUCUUUCUUUACCCACCUACCUGCUUCCCCACUUACCCAUCUCCAACAUUACCAGCUGCGACAGCACUUAUCGACACUUGCAACAUCUAUAGUGGGAAUGGCGAGAAACUUCGCCGCGUCGACUGCGAUGCUGCAAGAAAGGUUAAUUUUUUCGCUUCACGAAAAUGCUAUUUCGAUCUUCUUUAGACCAAUGCUGUUUCAAGAAGAUGUUGUUUCGAUCUUUUUCAAGAAACAUCAGCACCCAGUCACUAUGUGUGUGUGGGUGUUAGGAGUGGCACUGCUUCCUUGUAGUGGUAUAUGUCGGCGGUAGGUUAUGGUGAGGUGGUGCUAGUGAUGCGAUGUGUGCAGUGUUAGGUUGUGGAUUUAUCGUGGAUGGUUUGCAACUUGGAUGGUUGUGGAUCUAUUGUUUAACUAGAUUUUUUUUAGGAUGGUUGUUGGUGUUUUGCAAAUAGUGAUAGUCAUUUUGUUGAUGGUGGUGCAGGUAGUCAUGGUCAGGUAGUGAAUGUUGGUAAUGGUGGUGAUGGCGGCCACAAACAAGUUUGACCAAGUUUAUGUUUAUUGUGACAUAUUGUGACCAAUUAUGUGUUAAUUUUGAUUUGAUCACACAGCAUCACAAUUAAAAUUGAAUUGGUAACAGACAUUCAUAGUAAACUUAAAAUUAGUUAUAGUUAGUCAUACUGAAAACAAAUUUGUUCACAAUUAAUCACUGAUAGAACAGCUUUGUGACUUGGUUAAAUACAAUUACAAUUAAGCGAUCACAGACAGUCAAG
This 933-nucleotide long non-coding RNA is filed under the name Olea europaea subsp. europaea. Lineage: Eukaryota; Viridiplantae; Streptophyta; Magnoliopsida; Lamiales; Oleaceae. The record is from RNAcentral.